This is a long non-coding RNA of Hippocampus zosterae (dwarf seahorse), 573 nucleotides long. RefSeq lists it as uncharacterized. Lineage: Eukaryota; Metazoa; Chordata; Actinopteri; Syngnathiformes; Syngnathidae. The record is from RefSeq and is a predicted model, not a curated record. The transcript has 2 exons.
AUAUAUUUUUUUGUGUGUGUUCAAGCCUCCGUGACACCUUUGAGGUAGAUAACAUUCUCCAGUCACCUCCCAGUUCCCACUGAGUUGUGAAACAACACCUCCAGCACCCCGUUCAACUCUUUUGCACCAUCUUUUGUUCAAGGUAAUAAGAUUACAUUUUAGUGCCACUGAGCACAGGAACAGAAUUAAAAACAAAAAUAAACUUGAAUAACAUGAAUUUUGUUUUUAAUUUCUCAAAACUAGACGAUGUUUAUAGUGUAACGUCUUUGUGAGGCUAAAAAUGACAAAGAAAGACUGUAAUAGUGUGAUGCAGCUUUUUCCCAUGGACCUUGCUUGCUUCAAAGGUUUGUUUGUUGCUGUAUUCGGAAGGUUGCGUUUCAGGUGGGUUGGAAAACAAAAAGAAAAGCUGUACUGUAAAAUGGAGCCGUCUUCAUUUACACAUACUUCUUCAAACUGCCCCUUUUUUAUAAAAAAAAAAAAAUCAACAGACACGCAAAGUAACAGAAGUUCACUUCACGUAAGAUAAAAAACUACGGCUGCUCAACCAUACGACAAUUGAACAAAACACAAAAA